RNAcentral lists this transfer RNA (69 nucleotides) under Talaromyces marneffei ATCC 18224. RNAcentral describes it as "Penicillium marneffei ATCC 18224 tRNA". It matches the Rfam family "tRNA". Rfam says of the family: Transfer RNA (tRNA) molecules are approximately 80 nucleotides in length. Their secondary structure includes four short double-helical elements and three loops (D, anti-codon, and T loops). Further hydrogen bonds mediate the characteristic L-shaped molecular structure. tRNAs have two regions of fundamental functional importance: the anti-codon, which is responsible for specific mRNA codon recognition, and the 3' end, to which the tRNAs corresponding amino acid is attached (by aminoacyl-tRNA synthetases). tRNAs cope with the degeneracy of the genetic code in two manners: having more than one tRNA (with a specific anti-codon) for a particular amino acid; and 'wobble' base-pairing, i.e. permitting non-standard base-pairing at the 3rd anti-codon position. The record is from Rfam by way of RNAcentral. Lineage: Eukaryota; Fungi; Ascomycota; Eurotiomycetes; Eurotiales; Trichocomaceae.
GGUUAUAGUUUAAUUGGUAAACUGCGAUUUUGCAUAUCGUUAUCUCAGGUUCGACCCCUGAUAACUCCA